CGAUGGUGCUAUACAUGCAAGUCGAACGCUUUGUGGUUCAACUGAUUUGAAGAGCUUGCUCAGAUAUGACGAUGGACAUUGCAAAGAGUGGCGAACGGGUGAGUAACACGUGGGAAACCUACCUCUUAGCAGGGGAUAACAUUUGGAAACAGAUGCUAAUACCGUAUAACAAUAGCAACCGCAUGGUUGCUACUUAAAAGAUGGUUCUGCUAUCACUAAGAGAUGGUCCCGCGGUGCAUUAGUUAGUUGGUGAGGUAAUGGCUCACCAAGACGAUGAUGCAUAGCCGAGUUGAGAGACUGAUCGGCCACAAUGGGACUGAGACACGGCCCAUACUCCUACGGGAGGCAGCAGUAGGGAAUCUUCCACAAUGGGCGAAAGCCUGAUGGAGCAACGCCGCGUGUGUGAUGAAGGGUUUCGGCUCGUAAAACACUGUUGUAAGAGAAGAAUGACAUUGAGAGUAACUGUUCAAUGUGUGACGGUAUCUUACCAGAAAGGAACGGCUAAAUACGUGCCAGCAGCCGCGGUAAUACGUAUGUUCCAAGCGUUAUCCGGAUUUAUUGGGCGUAAAGCGAGCGCAGACGGUUAUUUAAGUCUGAAGUGAAAGCCCUCAGCUCAACUGAGGAAUUGCUUUGGAAACUGGAUGACUUGAGUGCAGUAGAGGAAAGUGGAACUCCAUGUGUAGCGGUGAAAUGCGUAGAUAUAUGGAAGAACACCAGUGGCGAAGGCGGCUUUCUGGACUGUAACUGACGUUGAGGCUCGAAAGUGUGGGUAGCAAACAGGAUUAGAUACCCUGGUAGUCCACACCGUAAACGAUGAGUGCUAGGUGUUUGAGGGUUUCCGCCCUUAAGUGCCGCAGCUAACGCAUUAAGCACUCCGCCUGGGGAGUACGACCGCAAGGUUGAAACUCAAAGGAAUGACGGGACCCGCACAAGCGGUGGAGCAUGGUGGUUUAAUUCGAA
This 960-nucleotide ribosomal RNA is filed under the name Weissella cibaria. RNAcentral describes it as "bacterial SSU rRNA". It matches the Rfam family "Bacterial small subunit ribosomal RNA", at positions 40 to 955 of the family's 1533-position model. The record is from RNAcentral. Lineage: Bacteria; Bacillati; Bacillota; Bacilli; Lactobacillales; Lactobacillaceae.